Molecule: ribosomal RNA, 432 nt
Filed under: uncultured bacterium
Lineage: Bacteria
Description: partial 16S ribosomal RNA
Rfam family: Bacterial small subunit ribosomal RNA
Source: RNAcentral
AACGAACGCUGGCGGCAGGCCUAACACAUGCAAGUCGAGCGAGGACUUCGGUCCUAGCGGCGGACGGGUGAGUAACGCGUGGGAACGUGCCCUUUGCUUCGGAAUAGCCCUGGGAAACUGGGAGUAAUACCGGAUGAGCCCUUUGGGGGAAAGAUUUAUCGGCGAAGGAUCGGCCCGCGUUGGAUUAGGUAGUUGGUGGGGUAAUGGCCUACCAAGCCGACGAUCCAUAGCUGGUUUGAGAGGAUGAUCAGCCACACUGGGACUGAGACACGGCCCAGACUCCUACGGGAGGCAGCAGUGGGGAAUCUUAGACAAUGGGGGAAACCCUGAUCUAGCCAUGCCGCGGGAGCGAUGAAGGCCUUAGGGUUGUAAAGCUCUUUCAGCUGGGAAGAUAAUGACGGGACCAGCAGAAGAAGCCCCGGCUAACUCCGU